Molecule: ribosomal RNA, 452 nt
Filed under: uncultured bacterium
Lineage: Bacteria
Description: bacterial SSU rRNA
Rfam family: Bacterial small subunit ribosomal RNA
Source: RNAcentral
AACGAACGCUGGCGGCAGGCCUCAAACAUGCAAGUCUAGGGGGUGUAGCAAUACAUCACCGGCGGACGGGUGCGUAACGCGUGGGAAUAUACCUAUUGGUUCGGAACAACACAGGGAAACUUGUGCUAAUACCGAAUGUGCCCUUACGGGGAAAGAUUUAUCGCCAAUGGAUUAGCCCGCGUCCGAUUAGCUAGUUGGUGAGGUAACGGCUCACCAAGGCUCCGAUCGGUAGCUGUUCUGAGAGGAAGAUCAGCCACACUGGGACUGAGACACGGCCCAGACUCCUACGGGAGGCAGCAGUGGGGAAUAUUGGACAAUGGGCGAAAGCCUGAUCCAGCAAUGCCGCGUGAGUGAUGAAGGCCUUAGGGUUGUAAAGCUCUUUUACCCGGGAUGAUAAUGACAGUACCGGGAGAAUAAGCCCCGGCUAACUCCGUGCCAGCAGCCGCGGUAAU